This 433-nucleotide ribosomal RNA is filed under the name uncultured bacterium. RNAcentral describes it as "partial 16S ribosomal RNA". It matches the Rfam family "Bacterial small subunit ribosomal RNA", at positions 29 to 507 of the family's 1533-position model. The record is from RNAcentral.
AACGAACGCUGGCGGCAUGCCUAACACAUGCAAGUCGAACGAGACCUUCGGGUCUAGUGGCGCACGGGUGCGUCACGCGUGGGAACCUGCCCUUAGGUUCGGAAUAACUCCCCGAAAGGGGUGCUAAUACCGGAUAAUGUCUUCGGACCAAAGAUUUAUCGCCUUUGGAUGGGCCCGAGUUGGAUUAGCUAGUUGGUAGGGUAAAAGCCUACCAAGGCGACGAUCCAUAGCUGGUCUGAGAGGAUGAUCAGCCACACUGGGACUGAGACACGGCCCAGACUCCUACGGGAGGCAGGAGUGGGGAAUAUUGGACAAUGGGCGAAAGCCUGAUCCAGCAAGGCCGCGUGAGUGAUGAAAGCCUUAGGGUUGUAAAGCUCUUUUACCCGGGAUGAUAAUGACAGUACCGGGAGAAUAAGCUCCGGCUAACUCCGUG